This is a long non-coding RNA of Oncorhynchus tshawytscha (Chinook salmon), 1522 nucleotides long. The record is from Ensembl. Lineage: Eukaryota; Metazoa; Chordata; Actinopteri; Salmoniformes; Salmonidae.
UUGAGUUCCACAUAAUUUAAUGAAUAAAGUGAAACUUAGCAAAGACAAAAACAAAUAAACAAUAAACUAACAACAAACCGUGACUACAGAGAUGCUACGGGCACUAACUCAAAACAAUAUCCCAUAAAACACAGGUGGAAAAAAUGCUACUUAAAUAUGAUCCCCAAUUAGAGACAAUGAUAACCAGCUGCCUCUAAUUGGGAACCAUAUAAAGCACACCAACCUAGAAAUAUGAAAAGUAGAAUACCCACAUAGAAAUAAUAAACUAGAAUACAACAUAUACAUACACUAAAUCACCCCCUAGUCAUGCCCUGACCUACUAUACCAUAAAGAAACAAUGGUUCUCUAUGGUCAGGGCGUGACAGUACACCCCCCCCAAAGGUGCGGACUCCGAACUCAAAACCUGAAACCAAAUGGGGAGGGUAGAGGGGGUUAUUAGUGUCGGUGGCGGCUCUGGUGCGGGACGAAGAACCCGCUCAGCUCGUGGAUCCGCCAGCUUUGGUGGCGGCUGUGGUGCAGGCCGAAGAACCCGCUCAUCUCGUGGAUCAAGCCAUGGAGCCGGGCUGUACACUGUGCCUGGACUGGACCUCGGUGUCAAGGAAGGCUCCUGCCAUGGAGCGGGACUGCACGCCGUAUCUAGACUGAGCACCGGCGCAGGAGAAUGCUCCGGCCUUGAAGCUGGACUGGACGCCGUGCCUGGACUGGGCAUCGGCACAGGGGAAGGCUCCCGCCAUGGAACGAACGGGCUGGACGCUGUGCCUGGGCACCAACGCAGAAGAAGACUCUGGCCUUGGAGCUGGACUGGACGCCGUGCUUAGACUGGGCAUCAGCGCACGUGAAGGCUCCGGUCAUGGAGCUGGAAGUUCCGGACCGUUGACCGUCGCAGGAGGUUCCGGACCGGGGACCGUCUCAGGAGGUCACACAUUACAGGGAGAGUGCGAGGAUCAGGCACAGGACGUUCCGGACUGGGGACACGCACUUCAGGGAAAGUGCGAGGAGGAGACACAUGAUGUACCGGACUGGAGAGGCGCACUUGAGGCCAGAAGCGUGGAACCGGCACAGGUUGCACCAGACUGCUAACCGGAUUCACUGGUCGGAUGUUGAGCAGAACACACUUGCACAUCUCUCUCAUCUCACUCUCUCCCAACUUAGCCUUUGCCUCCCUGACAGUCUCUGGCUCUUCCCUCUGCUCAUUCGCCAGCUCCAUAUGCCCACACCCCCCCAAAAAAACUUGGGGUUAUCCUUGGGCUUUCUGUAGCCGCGAAGCCUGUCGUCGUCGCUGUCCUCCAUUAUCUCCUUCCGAUGUCCAGACAUCCAUCACCUGGUGAACACGCUGCUUGGUCCUGGUUUGAUGGGAUAUUCUGUCACGUUCGUUAGAAUAAAUAUCGGACCAAGGAGCAGCGGAUGUUGAGUUCCACAUAAUUUAAUGAAUGAAGUGAAACUUAGCAAAGACAUAAACAAAUAAACAAUAAACUAACAACGAACCGUGACUACAAAUAUGCUACAUGCACUAACUCAAAAC